Molecule: unclassified non-coding RNA, 1116 nt
Filed under: Harpegnathos saltator (Jerdon's jumping ant)
Lineage: Eukaryota; Metazoa; Arthropoda; Insecta; Hymenoptera; Formicidae
Description: putative nuclease HARBI1, transcript variant X2
Source: RNAcentral
CUGGGAGUCUAUUCCUGAAACGAGGACCCUAGAUAUCGCAUGCGAUAUCGCAUACGAUAGCAGAAAUGAUAUUCUUGAAUGAGAUGCAUCGCAUGCGAGAAAAUAUCGAACGAUUCAUACCGAGUGGUAUAACCCAUGCGAUAUGCAAGUCGCAUACGAUAAAUCUAGUAAUAAAAGCGCUGUUUUCGACAAAAAAUGAGGUUAUACAAUGUGAGUGAGGUGAAUUAAAUUAAUUGUUUUGCAAUGAAUAUGGCAUAUCAAAAUGCUGUGCAACUUUAUAUCGCUGAACAAUUGGAAAAUAUUUUCGAUUAUAAUGAAAGACUGCGUUUUCACAUAAGGGAUGAUCCAUUUGAAUUAUCAGAACGACAAUUCAUAAAUCUUUUUCGAUUGAAAAAAGAAACAGCAAACAGACUUAUUAAUAUUGUGGAAGACAAUUUUGUAGAACCAUCACGAUCUUCAGCUUUGGACGCGACAAGUUUUAGUUGCAUUACACUUUUAUGGAUCAGGCAGCUAUCAGAAUUGCAUAGGAAAAAAUAUUCACAUCGCUAUUAGUCAACCUUCGGUUAGCAGAUGUGUUCGAAAUGUGACUAACAUUCUUAAUUUACCAGAAAUAUUCAACGAUUGGGUGUAUUUUCCUAACACCUUUCAGAAGCUGCAACAACUACGUAACAAUGAAUGUAUAUAGGAUGUGUAACACAUUCUAUAGAAACUUGCUAGGGAAACGAAACGAAUUAAUGACAGACAGUGUACAUGUAUAUAGAUUUUGGAUUAAUCAUCGUUUUCCUGGAGCGAUUGGUUGUAUAGACUGCACUCAUGUUGUAAUUGUUUCACCUCCUAAAGAAGAUUAGAAUUAUCCUGAACAUAUAUACAUAAAAGGAUAUCAUUCUAUUAAUGUACAAUUGAUAUAUGAUUCUGAUCUCAGGAUAAUGAAUGUUAAUGCCAGAUAUCCUGGAAGUAUUCACGAUUCGUAUAUCUGGAAUAAUAGUAAUGUUCUUCCUUGUUCUUAUGCAAGAUAUUUACAAUCGUGGACACAGCUUUUUUUUAUUAGGUAAUAUAUAAUCGUCAAAGUGAUUAUUCAAUAUUGUUUUUAGUUACAAUAUAUAACAUUAUAUUGCU